AGAGUUUGAUCAUGGCUCAGGAUGAACGCUGGCGGCGUGCUUAACACAUGCAAGUCGAACGAAGUUUUCGGACUUAGUGGCGGACGGGUGAGUAACGCGUGAGGAUCUACCCUUAGGUGGGGGACAACAGUUGGAAACGACUGCUAAUACCGCAUAAGCCGAGAGGUAAAAGAUUUAUUGUCUAAGGAUGAACUCGCGUCUGAUUAGCUAGUUGGUGAGGUAAGGGCUUACCAAGGCGACGAUCAGUAGCUGGUCUGAGAGGAUGAUCAGCCACACUGGGACUGAGACACGGCCCAGACUCCUACGGGAGGCAGCAGUGGGGAAUUUUCCGCAAUGGGGGCAACUCUGACGGAGCAACGCCGCGUGGGGGAGGAAGGUCUGUGGAUUGUAAACCCCUUUUCUCAGGGAAGAAGUUCUGACGGUACCUGAGGAAUCAGCAUCGGCUAACUCCGUGCCAGCCGCCGCGGUAAUAC
RNAcentral lists this ribosomal RNA (473 nucleotides) under uncultured bacterium. RNAcentral describes it as "bacterial SSU rRNA". It matches the Rfam family "Bacterial small subunit ribosomal RNA", at positions 8 to 526 of the family's 1533-position model. The record is from RNAcentral.